UGGCCAUGCAAAGACCAAAGUCCAGGUCCAGAGCCUCAUUACUAAUGCUGGUUGAACACGGUGGCCCAUUUUAAACCCAGCCUCAGAAGAUGAAGACAAGGACCUCCAGAGCACCACGGCAGGAGACUAUCCAUAUCAGUUAGCUCUGGGUUUUGGCUGAGAGACCCUGCCUCGUGAAUAAGCCUCUUCUGGGCUGUGGCAGCAGAGCUGACCAGUGGGACAGCGUCUACACAGUCUACAACACCCGCUAUCCGGCUAACUGAUCUGGACAAGAAGGACUAGAGAAGCUUUCUGAACCUGUCAGCUCUUGUGCCCUGGAGAUGAAGCAAAAGAGAAGAAUGGGUCAGAACCAGGAACAACAUCCUCUGGAGUCACCAUGUAGCAGGCUGGCCUUAAACUUGGGAUGCUUCUCCUGAGUUGCCUGGAUGCUGGUUUACAGGGAUCCAAAGAAAAGGCUGCCACUUCAAUGUCUAAUGGGUCCAGACAGGCUCCUACCUCCCGCCUUGAUGCUUGGCCGCUCACACCAUUACGGAAGCUGCCAACGAGAAAGGCACGAGAUGCCGGGGACCAGCUGACCUUGACUGCCUGCAUCUGAAAUACUCCUGUCUAUCCCACCACGGAGAGAGACAGCAACUAAAUUGGAUUAAUCCCAAAGGGAUCAGUCUGUAUCUCAGAGUAUUUAUAAAAUUUGAAAGAUCUAGGCGCUUCACGGGCAGCACUUGCUCUAGCUUUAAGCGGUUAGCACAAAGCUCUGGAGCGGGUAAAGCUAUGCUGAGCAACUGAAUGGACUGUGUCAGGUCUGUGGAGGAGUUGUGAGACUUGAGGCUUCGCAUGAAUAGUGAAAAAUCAUAUGCAUAUACAUAUACAUUUAUAUACAUAUAUGCUAAAGAAUAUAUAUACUAAGUCCUCACCUAACUGCAGGCUGACCAGCAGGUACACAUCGUACUUUAUAGGAAUCAUAACUCACCUGCCUUUGUUCUGCUUCUAUGAUUGCAAGGCUUUCUGCUCCCCUUGAGCAAAUAGAAAUACCACGGUGACACAACUGUGCCCUGUUCUUAUUAAAAAUUUCCAUAUUCUGUCAUGGUUGGUAACAGCCUUGUAAGUUACUGUCAAUGUGAAGCACCAAAUGUGUUGAUUUUUACCUUUAUAAACCCCCUGCUCACUCAGCUUGGGGCAGCGUCUUUAGACUUCUGGUCAUGCCCCUGGCUGGGUCUGUGUGCUUCAAUCAAAACUUCAGAUUCAUAAAGAGUUCUCAUACUGGUCUCUUUUUCUUGGGUGAGAACAGCCUGGCUACAAUGGCCCAUGAGAUAGGAAGAGAGUCUGAGGGCUAAACGCAGAAAAAAAGAAGAUAAAAUGCUUUAAAUGGGUUUGCACAUGUAAUCCAGUUUUAGAGUGUUUGCCUGGCGUGCAUGAGGCCCUGGGUUCAAUUCCCAGUACCACAUAAAUGGGUAUGGUGGUGUAAACUUCUAAUCUCAGCCCAGCAUCUGUGUAACCCAAGGUCCUUCUUGGCUACAUGGUAACUUUGAGGCCAGCCUGGGUGACAUGAAACCCUAUCUCAAAAACCAAAAAGAUCAACAACAACAACAAAAAAAAAAUUUUAGAAGUGAGGUGUGCACUCUUGGGCAUAUAUGUGAAGGAUGCUCCGUUAUAAAACAAGGAUAACAACUAUGUUAAUUGUGGCUUUAUUCAUAACAACCAGUAACUGGAAACAACCUAGACGCCCCACAACAGAAGAGUGGAUAGACAAGAUGUGGUACAUUUACACAAUGGAGUCUUACUCGGUGGUUUAAAAAAAGAAAUCAUGGAAUUACAGGCAAAUAGAUACGACUAGAAAAAAAAAUCAUUCCUGAUUAAGGUAACCCACUCAGACCCAGAAAGACAAGUACGUUAUGUAUUCGCUUAUAAGUGGGUAUUAGCUGUUAAGUAAUGAUGAUCAAGCUAUAACCCACAAACCCAGAAAGGUUAGGUAAAAAGGAGGGCUAUAGGGGGAUCUUCCUGAGAAGAGGAAAUAGAAUAGAUUCUGGGGGUGGACGCGGUGUUGGUGGAGGUGGGAGUGGAAGGAUCAGGUUGAGGAGAAGGGAUUAAAGGAGAGAAUGCAAAGAGACAGCUGAAGUGUGUGCAGGGGUAUUGGGGGAGUGGUGUGGAAACCCAGUAUAGUGGAAACUCCCUGAAGUCUAUGAGGGUGACCCCAGUGAGGACUCCUAGCAAUAGAGGAUAUGGAGUCUGAACUGGCCAGCGUAAGUAGCCGGGCAAGACCUCCAGUGGUGGGAGGGGUUAUGCUGGGUUGAGUUGUUGGCUGAGGAAGUCUCGAGGAGAUCCCUAAACAUCCCAGGCUGAUGCUAGGACAGGAGGUCACCCUCUGAAGACUGCCAGCAGGGCCCCAUUGCCUAGGACAACUUCCAUUCAGCUCUUGAACAUGGAAAGGUCUAGCUGGCGAGGGCUUGGAGCUUUCAUCCCUACAUUCUAGUCUCUUGGGCACGAGAAGGAACUCUGCAGGCUAUAGAAGGAUCACCACAGCCACAAAACUCUCCACCUAUGAUCUGUCCUGCCUGAAAGAUGUGCUAGGGCAAUGGUGACUCAGAGUAUCUGGGAGUGGCCAACCAAUGCCUGGUUCAACUUGAGGUCUACCCCACAAGAGGGAGCCCAUGCCCUACAUUGCCUUGAUGACCAGGAUCCAGAGACUGAGACUGUAUAACCCAAUACCAAGGUAGAACAAAACAUGACUGGCAAAAAAAAAAAAAAAUCAAUGCGGUGCAAUGAUUCUUAAUGACAUUCUGCUAUACUCAUAGAUCAGUGCUUUGUCUGGUCAUCGUAAGAGAGGCCUCCUCUGGCAGCAGAUGGGAGCAGAGACCCACAACCAGACAUUAUGUGGAGAGUCUAAAUUGGAGGUCUCCACAGGGUGCCUUCCCUAGAUUAGAGAACCCCAUGGAGAAGGGGAGGAAAGAGUCAGCGAGGAUGGGACACUGGGAGAACGUGGCCUACUGUAUCAAUUAAGCAGGACUCACACAGGCUCACAGAGACAGAAGCUACAAGCACGAGACCUGCAUAUAUCGACACCAGACAUGGGUAUCUACAUAUUUGUAUGGCUGUUAGCUGCAUAGAUCUGCACCAGACAUGGGUAUCUGAAUGUAUGUUAGCUUUUUGUUCUUGGGAGAUUCAGAACAGUGGGAGUAAGCAAAUCUCUCACUCCUUUGCCUGCUCUUGAGACUCUUCCUCCUAUUGGGUUGCCUUGUCAGCCUCGAUAGGAAGGCUUUGACCUUGUCUUAUUGUAUCUUGUCCUGUCCUGUCUGGCUGUUGUCUCUUGGAGACCUGCUCUCUUCUGAAGAGGAUCUGGGGGAGAGGGGAGGUUUGGGGGGAGC
This is a non-coding RNA of Rattus norvegicus (Norway rat), 3359 nucleotides long. The record is from RefSeq and is a predicted model, not a curated record. NCBI's taxonomy places the organism in Eukaryota, Metazoa, Chordata, Mammalia, Rodentia, Muridae.